UACGGGGGGGGCAAGCGUUGUCCGGAAUGAUUGGGCGUAAAGCGUCCGCAGGUGGCUAUGUAAGUCUGCUGUUAAAGAGUGAGGCUCAACCUCAUAAGGAGCAGUGGAAACUACAUGGCUAGAGUGCGUUCGGGGCAGAGGGAAUUCCUGGUGUAGCGGUGAAAUGCGUAGAUAUCAGGAGGAACACCGGUGGCGAAGGCGACAUCCUGGACCGGUUCUGACGCUGAGGCGCGAAAGCGUGGGGAGCAAACGGG
This 254-nucleotide ribosomal RNA is filed under the name uncultured bacterium. Its description in RNAcentral is "partial 16S ribosomal RNA". It matches the Rfam family "Bacterial small subunit ribosomal RNA", at positions 524 to 776 of the family's 1533-position model. The record is from RNAcentral.